UAAUUGAUAGAGUUGGAAAUUUAGUUACCUAAAUUAUCUAGUGCAACCUGCACCGAAGUUAAACUCUAGCAGAUAUCGGUACCGAUAUCUAGUUACUUUCUUUCACAUUAUUUAUUUAUUUAUUUUUCAUUACUUCAGUACCUAUUUCUUAUUUUUACUGCAAAUUUUGUUUUAUAAUUUCAGGGAUAGACAUUGUUUAUUUUCUAAUUACGGGCUUGUGUGAAAGUACAUGUUACACUAGAUACUGGUACCGAUAUCUUGUGCAACCUGCAACGGAGUUGCACUACUGUAACGGAGUUAAACACUAGAGAUAUCGGUACCGAGAUCUAGUGCAACCAGUAACCGACCAAAACACUACCAGAUAUCGGUACCGAAAUCUAGUGUGCUGGACUACUAGAAAAACGAUAUUGCUUUUAGGGUGCGGCUAUUGCCACCCCACCAAAUGCUUUCUUCACCCCAUAUUUCAAUUUUAAACUAAAUAUUCCAAUACUGACCCCACAAUCAAGAAUUUUUGUGAAAAUAUAAUAUUAAAAUAAAAUCCAAACAACAUCAAUUCUCUACAUCUUUACAUUGGAAAAAAAAAAACAAAAAAAACAAAAUCUCUACAUUUUUCAAAUCAGAUUUGAGAAUCACUUCAAUCUUCAACAUGGUGGUUAUACAGUGUGAUAUAUGAGAUUGUUAGUUCUUAUUUUUAUUUUAUUUAUGGUUUCAAACGUAGUAUUUCAUAUAUAUAUAUAAUAUUCAUAAUCGUAAAGAAAAAACUCAAGAAAGAGAUCGAGGAGAAUAUAGGAUGUGGUUUGAGAAGAAUGGAGGUAUGCGUCAAUUAUAUUGAUGAAAUAUUAUCAUUUUUGUAAUUGUAAGUUAAAAGAAAGAAAAUAAAAACUAGAUUUUCACAAAAUUUUAAUGGCAGAAUUGGAAUUUUAAAGGUAAAAAAUUAGACGUGGGGUGAACUGAGCAUAUAGUGGGGUGGAAAUAGCCGCACCCUUGCUUUUAUUCAUUAUUUUUUUUUUCCUUCAGUACUUCUUUCGUUAUUUCUUAGUUCUACUGCAUUGUUUAUUUUUUAACUAUAGGGAUACGCAUUGUCUUCAUCAGUAGUAAUUCUAACGAAUAUCUUAGCUGUGCAUGUUCUAUGAUUGCUAAACAAUCCAAAGUGGCUAUCAAGUCGGUUGGUAAGUUUUUUUCACCACCUACGCUUCUAUCAUUGUUUUUCUCUGUUAGUGAAUCAGACCCUUUCAAGUCAAACACUUUUGAAUUUGUUUGCAGAGUAAUAGAACAACAAGAUGUGGAUUUGAUUGUUCGUAUGUCCACAAUCGUUCAUACCGACUUAUAUAUUUGUCUGCUCGACCCCGGCCGCAAACCUCCACAUACGUGAGUUCUCCUCACCAACUGCACUUUUAGAAUUUUUUUUGUCCAAGUAAAAGAGUGUUUGAACGAUUAGGUUUUAAUACCAAAUAAUUUGAAAUGUGAUCGAGUGUUAUAAAUCAUUAUUUGCCUCUUUUAUAGGCUCUCUUGGAACGUUAUGAUUCUAGUGAAAUUGAUAUAUGUGUUUCUUUCGAAGUUCAUGACGAGAGUGUAACUACCUCCCUAUGGUCGGUCAAGCGAGCCAAGGACAACGUACUACUGCUUGAAUUAUAUCCCCAUGUGUUCCAUAACAAAAGAGACAUACAAGUCAUUACAUCUUGGUAUAUUCAAUUGGCUAACCUGCAUAACCCCUCUUUUGCUAACAGGGCUCAAUGUGGUACGUAAAUGAUGUAGAGGCCAUAUUCUAAGUCAGUUGCAAAGGCUUGAGAGUUGAGAAGUGUGGUAUACGUCUCUUGCACCGGGAAGAAGAGGUGGAGUUUGAGAACACGAUAACUGAGUGCUCGACCUCUUUCUUCGAUAAUUUGUCACUCAACUGUCAACUUGUAGAAGCAGAUGACCAAAACGAUCAACCAUGGAUAAGGCAUGAGCCUCCAACGCUUGAAGGCCAUUUAUAUGAAGCAGAGGAAGCUUUGAGGGGAGAUUCAGUAGUGGUCCAAGUAUACGAGUGAGAAAGGGUACACUUAUAGCAUUGUUUUUCUCAGUUAGUGCAUUGAUUUCGUUUGUAGAUUCGUACAACAGCAAGAUAAGGAUUUGAUUGUUCGUCAGUCCAAAAUCGUUCAAAGCAACUUAUAUAUGUCUCCUCGGCCUCAGCCGCAAACCUCCUCGUCGAUUAGGAGAAAAUUUUAGGGAAACCAAACUCUUCGACAUCGACUUUAAUUCUGGUAACUUUUGACAUCACUUGACUGCCCUAAAUUUUGUAGCAAACAAUUUGCACCAAGAUGAGGAGAUAAUUGAUAGAGUUGGAAAUUUAGUUACCUAAAUUAUCGGGUGCAACCUGCACCGGAGUUAAACUCUAAAAGAUAUCGGUACCGAUAUCUCGUGUAACGAGUACUGGGCUUGUGUGACAGUAAGUUUCAUGAUGGAUGUUACUUUUUUUCACUUUAUUUAUUUAUUUAUUUUUCAUUAGUUCAGUACCUAUUUCUUAUUUUUACUGCAAAUGUUGUUUUAUAAUUUCAGGGAAAGACGUUGUUUAUUUUCUAAUUACGGGCUUGUGUGAAAGUACAUGUUACAUUAGAUACCGGUACCAAUAUCUAGUGCAACGUGCAACGUGCAACGGAAUUAGACUCCAUCAGAUAUCGGUACCGAUAUCUUGUGCAACCUGUAACGGACUUAAACUCCACCAGAUAUCGGUACCGAAAUCUAGUGUGCUGGACUGGCUUGUGUGACAGUUACACUAGAUAUCGGUACCGAUAUCUGGUGUAACCCGGACUGACCACAAAAUCGAUAUUGCUUUUAUUCAGUAUUUUUUUUCCUUCAGUACUUCAUGAGCUAUUUCUUUUGGAGUUUCCCAGAUUAGGAGAAAAUUUUGGGGAAACCAAACUCUUCGAUAACGACUUUAACUCUGGUAACGUUUGAAAUUACUUGACUGUCCUAAAUUUUGUAGCAAACAAUUUGCACCAAGAUGAGGAGAUAAUUGAUAGAGUUGGAAAUUUAGUUACCUAAAUUGUCUGGUGCAACCUGCACCGGAGUUAAACUCUAAAAGAUAUCGGUACCGAUAUCUCGUGUAACGAGUACUGGGCUUGUGUGACAGUAAGUUUCAUGAUGGAUGUUACUUUUUUCACUUUAUUUAUUUUUCAUUACUUCAGUACCUAUUUCUUAUUUUUACUGCAAUUGUUGUUUUCUAAUUUCAGGGAAAGCCGUUGUUUAUUUUCUAAUUACGGGCUUGUGUGAAAGUACAUGUUACAGUAGAUACCGGUGCCGAUAAUGCAACGUGCAACGGAGUUACACUCCACCAGAUAUCGGUACCGAUAUUUAGGGCAAACUGUAACGGAGUUAAACCCCACUAGAUAUCGGUACGGAUAUCUAGUGCAACCUGUAAUGGACUUAAACACUACCAGAUGGCGGUACCGAAAUCUAGUGUGCUGGACUGGCUUGUGUGACAGUUACACUAGAUAUCGGUACCGAUAUAUCGUGUAACCUGGACUGACCACAAAAACGAUAUUGCUUUUAUUCAGUACUUUUUUUUUCCUUCAGUACUUCAUGAGCCAUUUCUUAGUUCUACUGCAUUGUUUAUUUUUUAACUAUAGGGAUACGCAUUGUCUUCAUCAGUAGUAAUGCUAACGAAUAUCUUAGCUGUGCAUGUUCUAUGAUUGCUAAACAGUCCAAAGUGGCUAUCGAGUCGGUUGGUAAGUUUUUUUCACCAACUACGCUUCUAUCAUUGUUUUUCUCUGUUAGUGAAUCAAACCAUUUCAAGUCAAACACUUUUGAUUUGGAUUUGUUUGCAGAUUAAUAGAUCGAACAACAAGAUGUGGAUUUGAUUGUUCGUAAGUCCACAAUCGUUCAAACCGACUUAUGUAUUUGCCUCCUCGACCCGGGCCGCAAACCUCCACAUACAUGAGUUCUCCUCACCAACUGCACUUUUAGAAUUUUUUUGUCCAAGUAAAAGAGUGUUUGAACGAUUAGGUUUUAAUACCAAAUAAUUUGAAAUGUGAUCGAGUGUUAUAAAUCAUUAUAUGUGUUUCUUUUCGAAGUUCAUGACGAAAGUGUAACUACCUCCCUACGGUCGGUCAAGCGAGCCAAGGACAACGUACUACUGCUUGAAUCAUAUCCCCAUGUGUUCCAUAACAAAAGAGACAUACAAGUCAUUACGUCUUGGUAUAUUCAAUUGGCUAACCUGCAUACCCCCUCUUUUGCUAACAGAGCUCAAUGUGGUACGUAAGUGAUGUAGAGGCCAUAAUCUAUGUCAGUUGCAGAGGCUUGAGAGUUGAGAAGUGUGGUAUACGUCUCUUGCACCGGGAAGAAGAGGUGGAGUUUGAGAACACGAUAACUGAGUGCUCGACCUCUUUCUUCGAUAAUUUGUCACUCAACUGUCAACUUGUAGAAGCAGAUGACCAAAACGAUCAACCAUGGAUAAGGCAUGAGCCUCCAACGCUUGAAGGCCAUUUAUAUGAAGCAGAGGAAGCUUUGAGGGGAGAUUCAGUAGUGGUCCAAGUAUACGAGUGAGAAAGGGUACACUUAUAGCAUUGUUUUUCUCAGUUAGUGCAUUGAUUUCGUUUGUAGAUUCGUACAACAGCAAGAUAAGGAUUUGAUUGUUCGUCAGUCCAAAAUCGUUCAAAGCAACUUAUAUAUGUCNNNNNNNNNNNNNNNNNNNNUUGUUUAUUUUCUAAUUACGGGCUUGUGUGAAAGUACAUGUUACACUAGAUACCGGUACCGAUAUCCAGUGCAACGUGCAACGGAGUUGCACUCGGUACCGAUAUUUAGUGUAAACUGUAACGGAGUUAAACCCUACUCGAUAUCGGUGCCGAUAUCUAGUGCAACCUGUAACGGACUUAAACACUACCAGAUAACGGUACCGAAAUCUAGUGUGCUGGACUGGCUUGUGUGACAGUUACACUUGAUAUCGGUACCGAUAUCUCGUGUAACCGGAAAUCUAGUGUGCUGGACCACAAAAACGGUAUUGCUUUUAUUCAGUAUUUUUUUUUUGAAUUAACCUUUGUUUAGUCCCUAAGGUUUACACAACUCAUCUACUUAGUCCUCAAGGUUUAAAAAACAUCUAUAUAGUCUUUAAGGUUUUGAUUUCUCAUCUAGAAGGUCGAACAGUUAUAAAAAACUGUUAAGCUACUGUUUUUCCGUUACAAAAAGUUUUUUUUUUUUUAAGAUCUAGACUAAUCUUCUCCUAAGAACUAGCCUUCAACAUGCCAACACUUCACCUAACGACUUCCUGUCUAAUGGUUACUAAACAUGACGGAAUCACUGCUGUGUUAGGGUAAACAAGUCUAAACACUUACAAAGUAAAAGGGAAACGUACCACAACGAAAAUAAAAUGCAGAAAUGUAAAAAAAAUUUUUUUUUUACGGAUUAUAGGGCAGAAGGUAGAAUUUAUUUAAUUCAACAUAAAUACAAAUACCAAACCCAGAGCCUUGCUCUUAGGGAAUGCUGUUUAGCUACUCAUACUUGUAAUAAAUACUUACUUGUAAAUUUACAGCACACCACACCAGAUGAUUACAGACUUCACUCUAAAAAUACUCUUAAUAUUCUCACAUUAUUCUAAAGACUGUAUACUAACUCUCGUACUUUUUGAAAAAUGUUGGGAGAUUUCAGAUGUUUGUUUCAGGUUUUUCUCUUCGAUGUCUUCCUUCUGAAGUUUGAGGCUCCUUAUAUAGGAGGCGGAACUCAAGCUGGAAUUAAAUCACACUUAUACAUAGUGGGAGACAGGAGGAAUCCUAUCCUAGUAACUUUACUUUUGAAAAAGUAAAGUCGAAAGCUUUAAUGUGCUGGUAGCCACUUUCUUUUUAUCAAAAGAAAAGCUGCUUAUCUUGUUGCGUCGGCAGCCACUCAUCUUUCCAGCAUAUUCAUAAUUUUGUGAUAUGUUUCUGGAUCUUCAGAAUAAUCCACUGAGAAGUUGGGACCACUAUAUUCCCAAUCUCGCGCCGUGUCUUCAUCUCCAUUGUCGAGAUCUGAAUCAUACGGAUAAGAAAUUUUAUAUUUUUCAUCAGUCUCAACCUUUUCUAACCACGUAGUGGUGGCCAGAGUGCAAUCCACUUCUUUUCUCAUAAGAGCUGUGAAAAAGUCACAAUUCUCUGAUGGAGGAUGAUUAUAGCAAGUAACCAUUAUUUUUUCUCCACUUGCCAAAAGACUUGAAUCAUAGUCUCUUAGCACCACGUCUUUGAUAACAGAUAUAGCCAUAGCCUUCAUCCACGGGAUGCUUUGAUUUGGUCUACCAUUGCCACUUACAACGGUUGUCUUUUAAACUGGACUUUGGAUAAAUCUGACAUGAUGAUAUGGAGAAAUAUAAUUCAUUUGACCAUUUACCAUUGUCCAUUCCUUAGGAUGCAUCUAUCAGGUCUGAUAUUUUUGACUGCUUCAGUAAUUAUUGCAGGCAAAUCAUGCAGAUCUUCAUUGGUUUUUGUCCACAAAUUAUGAACAAAACCGUUCUCUACAAGCCAUAGCUUGUGCUUCUAGGGAUGUUCUGCUUGAACAUCAACAAGAUAUCUCCCAUAAUAUGGGCUUGGAACUGUUGACAAAGUUCCUGGAAGAACAUUUUUUCCUUCACCUAAGAGGUUAUGAAAGCUGUACCAUUCCGAUUCUUUUAGCGCUAAAAUGGGGAUCUUAGCACUUUCAGGAUUUUCGAGGUAUACAACCUUCGAGGUUUCUGCUAGAAUACCUUUAUCUUUUGCAUGGAAUCCAUGCAUUUCUUCAGUUAAAGCCUUGAGAGUUUGAAGCAAGUGAGCUUCAUUUUCUUCAUAAAAUGAAUACAGAAUAUUAUCAAUAAUAAUCUUCUGCUUGAAGGGUAAUAGUCUUUCCGUUCUGAACACUGGCUUCUGAAAGAUCUUUAGAGAUUGCUCAUGGAUGACCUUCUUUCCCGUGACUAUCGGUAUCUUAUUCGUCUUAAGAGGGUCUCUUCUGCUUUUUGGCAAAGCAGCAGCCAUCAACGGGCUUGAUAUGCCUUUACCGUCUGCCGUUUGAGACGGGCUAGCCAGUCUUUUCCCCUGAGACUGAUCAGUUAAGGCUGAUCUUUUCGGACACAGCAAGAACUCAGAUAUGAGUUUGUCUUCAUUAGUACCACCUGAAUGACUAGAACGACCAUCUUCUUCAGAAUUUUGUUUAGGUUUGAUUCUUGAAGCUUGACUGGGCUCAGCAGUUCCAUAAGAAACAAUAUACUGAUAUCCUGGUCCGUCAUAGAGUGGUCCUACGGUUUUAUCACCACUUUUGAAUUAUUCCCAGAGCUUCUUUUCCUCUGAUUCUGGUUUUCGACUUCUGGGAUUGCGACCUUCUUUGUCAAACAUCGCCAUUUCUCUUGUAAGCGCGUCAGGCAAAUAGUUCUUGUUUCCUGCAACCAUUUCAACAUCGUAUUCAUAUUGGGUUAAAAACAUUUGCCAUCUCAACACUCUUCCUCUAUCUGCAGCAUCAGUUAAUUUGUAAUUUUUGAAAUUUUUAACUCUUUUGUUAUCAGUUCUAACUACAAAUUGGUUUCCUAGGUAUGCCUCAGCACCCUUGAUGCUUUUAAUUAAGGCAAGGACUUCCUUGUCUCCAGUAGAAUAAUUUAACUCAGCAGCGUUAAACUUUCCUGAUAGAAAUUUACAAAUCUUUUCAUGAUUUGUAUUUGGAGCAACAGCUAAAACAACUCCUGCCCAAUAAUAAUCAUUUGCAUCAGUCUGCAAAAUGAUCAAAUCUCCUUCUUCAGGUAACUGUAAAAGAGGAAGGGUUUUUGUUAAUUCCUUAAUCUUUCUGACAGUAUUACUGUCAUCAGCUGUGAAAGACCAUUUUUUUUUAGAACUUGUUUUUGGAGAGAGAAGAGCAGUUAGACCACUAACUUGAGGAAUAAAAUCUCUCGCAAAAUUAACAACUCCCAAAAAUCUCUGUAAAGACUUAGCAUCUGGGAUAUUGUCUGGAAAUUGGCUAAUUUUCUUAACAAUAUGAUCUUGGAGACGAAUCUCUCCAUCCUUAACAUGAAUGCCAAGGAAAUCAAUUUCACCUUUAAUUAGACGAAUCUUUUUCUGCCCGAGGAUAAUUCCCUUCUGGACAAUAAGCUUACACACCUGUUCAAGAUGUUUUAAAUGCUCGUUCAUAGUUUUGGAAAAGACGAGGAUGUCAUCUAUGUAAACUAUGUAAAAGUCUGCGUAAGGCUUGAAGAUAUUAUCCAUUUUCCUUUGGAAAAUAGACGGGGCUUGCUUAAGGCUAAAUGACAUAACUAACCAUUCAUAAUGCCCUUGAGGAGUUCCAAAAGCUGUUAAAGCUAUGGAUUCAGGAUGUAUUUUAACCUGCCAAAAGCCUGAUUUUGCAUCAAACUUUGAGAAGAUUUUUGCUCCCUUAAGCCUAUUGAUGAGAACCCUCACCUGUGCUAUCUGAUAACCGUCUUUAACGGUCUUUUUGUUCACAUCCCUGUAAUCAAUUACCAUUCUAGCUUUUCCUCUUAAUUGUUCAGCAUGAUUCCGUAUCAGAAAAGCUGGGGCAUGAUGAGGACUAUUUGAAGGCCUUACUAACUUUUUUUCCAAAAGCUCUUGGAUCUGAUUUUCCAUUUCUUUUCUAUCUUCUUCCCUAUAGUGAGGGAUGGCCUUAACAUGGCAAAUAGCAUUUGCAUCAUCCAUUUUUAGCUGACAAUAUAUCGGGUCCUUUUCCCAAUACAACUGAGGAUCUUCACUGAUUACUGGUUUCAGUAAAUUUUCUAUUUCUGCGAGAGUUGGUAUUUUCUUUUGUUCUACCCUUUUUGCAUAUACCUUUAAGUUAUGCUCUCUGAUGUAUUCUUCUUCUCCAUCAGAACUCUCACUGUCAGAAAUUUGAUAUUCAGAAUUUUCCUCUGAAUCAGAGUCUUCUGAACUUGUUGUUUCUUUUACCAAUAUCUCACUAUGCCCUUUAAGUUGUUCUUGAAGAAACAAAACUGGCUUUAAAAUUGGCGUAUAAUCACCACUCUUCGUUGCGUAUAAUCACCACUCUUCGUUAGCGACGUCUGAUAUUGGUUGGUAAAUCCUUUACUUGUAACGCAUACUGCGUCGGUUAAUCGGGAUUCCCAAUAGAAUUUUCUAUUUUUCUCAAACCCAAUCCUGUCUGGGGUUUGAAUUACUGUUUGUUGAAGAAGAAAGUCAUUUCCUAUCAACAAAUCAGCAGUUUGGCCUUCACAUUGCCAAAGGAUCUUUAUGGUAAAAGUGCCUCCUCCUAAGGAAACUUUUACAUUUCUAGCCAUAGUAUCCAUGACUAUCUUGUUUUCUUCCAUUGCAACUCCAGUAACCGUUUUGGAAGAUUUUUCCCAAUACUCUUCAGGGAUUGCAUAUCUUUUAGCAAGACUGUAUCCAGAACCAGUAUCUACAAAUGCAUGUAGAUGAUACUUCUUGUAGUUGGGAAACUUCAGUCCUAUAGUAAUAUAAUUACUAUAUAUCCUCGUCUGGACUGGUAUUGCUUGUUCUUGUGCUUUUGAACUAUCAAGUAAUCCUGUGAAAGGAUUCACCCUUCUUUCUGCAGGGGUGGAAUCUAGAAGAUUAUCAUCCGCUAAACCUAAUAUUGGAUUGGAACUUUCGGAAUUAAGAGAAUCAAGAGAAUCCUUGAUUUCCUUAUUCUGACUUAAUGAAGUUACAAACUUCAUCGUUUUUAUAUCCUCUUCGAGCUGCAGGUUCUCUCUUUGUUCCUUCUUCUGGAAUAUAUUAUAUUCCUCUUCUACUAAGGUAUGAGCAUCCUUAGCCUUGGUUUUUCUUCUGAGUUUUGCAAUAAAGCAUUCGCGAUGAUAAGUUUCUCCUGUACAUUCACAGUACAUGGGAAUUGUAUUAUCAUCAGCGCAUCCGCAAUAAUCAUAUACAAAUCUUCCUGGAUUAGGGUGAAAGGUACUGAUAAUAUCAGUAUUUUCCUCCUUCCAAUUUUGUAUUUGUAAUAAGAAUAUAGACCGAUAUCCUAUAUCCUCUUCUUCCUCAGAACUUUCUGAAAAACUCUCUGUUUCACUAUCUGAUAGGUACUCAAGAGAAUAUACUGAUUCAUUCUCUUCAUCAGAAUAAGCAACUUCAAUGCCUUUUAGAUUAGCAUAAUCUAUUGCUUCCUCAUAUUCGGCAAGUAAGACUUUAGAAGUCCUUUUAUCCUUUUUCGGACAUUCAUUUGCAUAAUGUCCUUCUGCCUUGCAGAGCCAACAUCUGCACUUCUUUACUUCUCUAGAAGAAUAACCUGUUUUUUUUUUCUUCUGAAAAAUUUCUUCCUAGGAGAAGUUUGAGAAGAUUGUCUUUUUUGAUAUUCAGAGCUUUUUCUGAACUUAUACUUCUUUUUAGAAGUCGUAAUUUUUUCUUUUGCUUUCUACCAGAGAAUUUCUUCCUAAAUUUCUUUUCAGAAAUAUGACAUCCUCAUUGUGUCGGGUAUCCAAAUCUUUGGACACAUGUUUUCAACUCCUCUGAGUUGUUUCUUAGCGGUUUUGGAUUUUCUAUUCUCUGUACAUUGCCUUCUUAGGAGAUCCCUAACUCUUUCUGCAAUUCCUCCUACAGUAAAAUAUUGAAAAGGGUUUUCUUCUAAUGAGUGUGCCACUGCAUCAUUCCAGGGUUCUGGUAAUUUUCUGUAAUAUGUUCUGAUGAGAUCAUUAUUUUCAAUGUCUCCAAUAGUGCAGUAGUAAUUCUGGAACUCAUUGGUGUAUUCCUCAAAAUACCUCAUAUUACAAAUACUCAAUUUUUGAAUAUUUGCUUUAGCUCUUUCUUUAGAUUGUUCACUAUGUCCAGUGAUAUCUCCGCAGAAUUGUGCGUAGAUAGGCACUGCAAAAUCUAAAAGACUGUUAGUCUGAGCUAUUUUUGUUGCCCAAUCAGUCCAUUGAGAACUUCUUUUGAAGGACUGGUACCAUUUCUGGACUAUUCCAGUUAAGGUAGACUCAUAAUAAGCAUGAGCUUCCUCGUAGGCAUAUUUAGAUAACACUAGAGCCUGAGUUAGCUUUAAACUAGCGACCCAGUUGUCUAUUGCCUUUCUUUUGUCUCCUACCUGAUCUAAAUCCAGAUAAACCCCUCUUUCGGACACUGACUGUCCACAUUUGGGUUCUGUAGGAAUAUACUUCUGGGACCUUCUUUCUCCAUCUCUUCUUGUAGGAGCUUGUCCUUUUGGAAGCUUGAUAUUCUUUUCACGAAUGAUCCUUGUAGGAUUGUUGGUGAUGUUUUGUAUUAUAGUAUGACCACCGUCUGGAGGGACUUGUCUGAUACGGGUGUAUCCUUUAGCUUUUAGGAAUUAGUGAUUUCUUAUCCAAGUUAGUUAAGUACAUAGUUUUCUAGCUUGAAAAGGAAUAGUUGUCCAACUUAGUUAAUGAGUAGUUUCCAAGUUAGAUAAAGAUUUAUAGAGUUAGACUCUAUAAAUAGAGGUGCCUAGCUUAGUUCUAGACACCAGAGUGAAACAGAGACAACAUCUGUUUAGACCAGAGUGAAACAGAAACAACAUCUGUUUAGAAGAGAGCGAAUCAGAGAGAGCUAGAGAGUUAUUGUGAGAGAAGACAUUAGACAAUAGUUAUUGUACCUUUUUGCACAAUAAUAAGAGAGGAAUAUAAUUCCUUCGACCUACAUUACUUGAGUAUUUUAGUACUACUAAAAUUUCCGCUACUAGUAGUAACACCUGAGUAAUUCGUAUCAUUGUCUUUCCCCAUCUCCUGUAUCCAUGGAGGAUGAACCUGGAGGUUCAUCUUUUGCUGCUUGAUAAGGAAGAAUCUUCCUCUUUUUCUUUCCAAGUUGAACUUCAAAAAUUUCUUUUAUGAUCUUUUCAAGUUCAUCUAUGGAAUCACAAGUUUCUGCUUGUGCAUAUAAUUCUCGUAAUUCUUGCUUGGAACAUUCUCAUAGGACUUUUAGUAUCCUCCUCUUCAAGAGAUUCUUCAUUGUACUCUGUCUUAGUUCCAGAGGUACUGGCUUCUUCAUAAUUUGCAAACGAAUGCAUAUGAAAUUGUAAACUGAUUUUUCCUCCCAUGUCUUCAUAAAUUGAAGCAUUAGAGCUCUCAAGUUGUUUGACAGGAGGGGUCAGAUUCCAUUCUCUUGGGAAUGUUACUUCAUGGCAUUUUGUGACAUGCUUUUCUUGAGAAUUAUUUUUUGGGUUGGUGAGAACAGAUGUAGUAAUUCCAGGGCUGUUUAGAAACCUGGUAUUAGGAGUUACAUUUGAGCUCAUCAACUUAUAAUAGAUUCGAUAAUCUAUCGCUAGUUCCAUCAUUCCUUUUUUCAUAGAAAUCCCAUCUGUCUUGAUUCUUAAUCUUAGACAGUGAGCAACAUCCCUAAGAUGCGUUGUGAAAUUUGAAAAAACAUUGAAAUAUGCAACUUGGUUGCACAAAGAAGCUUCUACUGUUCCUAACAAACUUUUCUUAAAGUCUGUUAUUCUAUCGUCUUGUAAGACAUAUAGAACAGAACAGUCAAUACCAUCUCUGGCCAAGAGUUUUAUUCCUACUUGUACUGCUCCAAUAUGCAUAUAGGAAUAUUUUUUCUGGAAAGCUUCACUUACUUCCUUUGGAGUUAUCAACCUGAUAUCUGUUUCUCCACCUGUGGCUGAAACAGUUAAUUCAAGAAUCUUGAAUCUAUGGGAGUCCAUGAUGAAAGAUCCUCUUUUAUAGAUCUCAUUGAAUCUAAAUCUAGGAGCAGAUGCUUCUCUUACACUAGAAUCGAUUUCAUUAUACUCAAAUUCUUGAGCGUUUAUUAAUUGUACCGGAACAGUAUUCCUUUUACUGAGAAUUCUGUUCAACAUCUUCAUAUCUCUCUUGGUUGAUGAUUUCCAUUCAAGUAGCUUUGGUUCACUAAACCUUAGCCUAUUUUCUCCCAUUGGUAAGGGUGGAGAAUUCAUAAUGAUUUUACUAGCUACAUUUUGAGCUAGUAAUUCUUCAUCUAUUUUUUCAUAAUUUUCUCCUUGUUUCAUCUUUUCUACAAUCUUUUGUAGACCAGAUAUCCUGUUAUGUAUCUCCCGAAAUUGGAUUUCAAGGUCCAUAUCUAUCUCUUGGAGAUAAGCGAUGUUAUAAUUCUGUUGAAGAAUUAUUGCCUCUACAUUUUCGGCGAGUUUUUCUGUAGGUUGAUGAAAGCCAAUAGUUUUAAUACCUUCCUGUUUUACUUUUAGAUCUACUCUCUGAUUCAUCCUAUUCUGGAAAUGAGAGUUUUUAAAAGCUUUCUCAAAUUUUCUUGAGUGCUUUUUAGUUCUACUGCUUGCUAAUGAAUGUUGUUUGCAAGUGCUUCAGUACGAACUAAUUUCUUUUCAAUAUCUGUUAGAUAUUGUUUUUCUUUGAGGUAAUCUAGCUUGACUUCAAGCUUGAAAAUUUUUGAAUUGAUUUCCUCAAGUUGAUUAAUCCGUAGAUUAAAUCUCUCGAGUUGUUCUAUAACCCUUUCAGAGGUCUUAUCCCUAGAUAAAUGGUCUAGGAACUCGAUUAAGCUUGGUUUUGCUGGAUCAAGCUCUUCUACUCCGAUUUCUCUUUGGAGAUGAAUAUGUUUGUCGUAGAGCGUAUUUAAUACUCUACACACGUAUUCAAUGGAGUACUGGUUUUCUUGGAUGUGCCUUGAAUGAAAGCACACUUCCCACUUGUCAGUUCUUUUUGCAGUACAAAAAGACUGAUAAUUUUUUAAUUUGGAUUCUCUUUUAUUAGUCAAGAGAAGCUAACUUUGUGGCAUAAGCCUUUUGUCACCUGCUUUUGAGCCAAGCAGGCUCUGAUACCAGCUAGGGCGGAUCUAACCGAUGCUCAAAAUAUCAAGAGGGUUUUGAUCUUGUUCAAAUGUUUCUUGAAGGACUUCAAUUUCCUCUCUUGACUCGUAUAUCCUUCGUUGCAACUGGAAAAUAAUAUCCCAGUAAUUUUUUGUAUUUCUCGGAAGCUUAUCUCUUCUUUCUUUUAAUUUUCUAAGAUUUCUUCUUUCUUCUUGUAAUUUUUUAUAAGAUAGCUUAGCUUCUGACAAUAAAUCAAAUCGAGUAGCAAUAGAUUCUCCUAUUGGUAAUAAAAAAUUAACUGUUUACCUUUGAGGAGAAUGAUAGAUUUAUAUUUGCAAAAUGUUAAAUAUAAACAAAUUCAAAAUCCAAGGCCCACCAUGCUCCAUUCAUUUUUCUUUUAAACAAAAAUAUCAUAGAAAAACAGAAUAUUCUCUUUUCUGACGGAAUAUUCCAUCAGAAAAAAGGAAAGGACUAACCAGAUUAACAAUUAUAAGUUCAAGGACUAAACAGAUUAAACUGAAAGUUCUAGGACUAAACAGAUGAACCACCUAAACUAUAGGGACUUUACAGAAUUUUAUCUUUUUUUUUCCUUCAGUACUUCAUGAGCUAUUUCUUAGUUCUACUGCAUUGUUUAUUUUUUAACUAUAGGGAUACGUAUUGUCUUCAUCAGUAGUAAUGCUAACAAAUAUCUUAGCUGUGCAUGUUCUAUGAUUGUUAAAUAGUCCAAAGUGGCUAUCGAGUCGGUUGGUAAGUUUUUUUCACCAACUACGUGAUGGAUUUCCUGCAAGUAUACAUGGUGGAUGUAGUAUAGUGAAAUGGAAGAGAAGGGUUGUCGUUCCCACGAGGAUAUUAGUUCAAUUCAAAUUAUGAAAUACCUAAACUAACUAUACUAAAACACACAAAUCACGAUAACAAUUUAAAGAAACAAAGAAACAAUAAAAUAAGUAAACAAAUAAUAAUAAAUGAAUCUAGGACGUCAGAAUCAACCACUAACAAUCCUAUGUAUGCUUUGAUGCAACUAACAGACUCUUUCGUUUCUCUAGAUGACAAUUCUCGUAUCCAAGUCCUUCUCAGGUACUCUAGACCAUAAUUUUCCUUAAGUGUAUGAUGUUCUCCCUCUCGGGUAAAGGUCAUAUAUCCUAGCUAUGCAGUCUAUCCUUCUCAGGUAUAAAUUUAACAUGCAAGACUCAUUACGUACUAGAAAAUAAGGGAAUCAAGCAAACCAUUAUUCUUUCUCAAGCAACAAUGUAAUUCACCACACUUAACCACAAGAAGCUAUAUAAAUUAUAUUGCAUCUCUGCUUCAAAUUUAUCUUCCAAUUACUAAAUGCAAAGCCCUAAGGUGAUCAAUCAAAGAACUUAAACAUCAAGCAUAAAAUUCAACCAGUGAUUAAGCUUUCAUCAUUAAGAAACUAUAAAUCUAUUAAUUAAUCAUCAAAGACAUAAACAUUCAUGCUAGGGCAUCAUCCUAACCCUAGAAAAGGUUUAACUAAACAUGACUAAAUAAAACAUAACGAAAACAUAAAAAGAACGAAAAGAUGAAGGGUGGAUGAAUGGAUAGAUGGUCUCUGCUCCUUUAUGCGUCUACAACGUGCUUCCGAGACCUCCUCUUCAUGUGAAAUUCGUGCUUCUUUAUAUAGAGAAGUUUUCUGCUCAUCUUUGACUUCAAUUUUCCUUGUAAGACUUGGAUUCAGACUCCUUUCUUGAUAUGGAAUGGGAAAACCUUGAGAUAUCUCUUGUAGAACUAGGAAUACAUGUACUCCUCGAAUCCUCAUCUGCAUUAUUGUCCUUGCAGCUUUAGGGUUGAUGAUCUUUUGCCAUGGAACUUGAGUUCUCCACAAAUGUUUGCAAUUCCGAGCAGAUUUCCUGAUCUGACCUUUCUUCACUCAAAUGAUCAUAACUCACUCCAUAAGUAUCGAAAUCGAGAUACGUAAACUUCUACAGAAAAUAGACUUCCGUAGCUUUCCAAUGAUAUAAGGCUCAUAGUCUGAUUCGAUUUGAGUAAUUCCCAGUACGUCGGCGAAAUUGGAUAUUCUGCAUAGGCAGAUUCUGGCACUUGGGAUUGUAGUCCUCUUUCAAUCUUUAUUUGCUCAUUUUAGCACAUUUUCUUCUCUUUACGACACAAACCUAAAAGAACCCUAAAAUAACGUAAAUCUGUCACAAAUACGAGAAUUAAACACAAAUAUGAAGAUUAGGAGUUAUAUAAUUAUAGGAUAAUAUGAGCACAUCACUACGCUUCUAUCAUUGUUUUUCUCUGUUAGUGAAUCAGACCAUUUCAAGUCAAACACUUUUGAUUUGAAUUUGUUUGCAGAUUAAUAGAUCGAACAACAAGAUGUAGAUUUGAUUGUUCGUAAGUCCACAAUCGUUCAAACCAACUUAUAUAUUUUUCUCCUCGACCCCGGCCGCAAACCUCCACAUACGUGAGUUCUCCUCACCAACUGCACUUUUAGAAUUUUUUUGUCUAAGUAAAAGAGUGUUUGAACGAUUAGGUUUUAAUACCAAAUAAUUUGAAAUGUGAUCGAGUGUUAUAAAUCAUUAUUUGCCUCUUUUAUAGGCUAUCUUGGAACGUUAUGAUUCUAGUGAAAUUGAUAUAUGUGUUUCUUUCGAAGUUCAUGACGAGAGUGUAACUACCUCCCUACGGUCGGUCAAGCGAGCCAAGGACAACGUACUACUGCUUGAAUCAUAUCCCCAUGUGUUCCAUAACAAAAGAGACAUACAAGUCAUUACGUCUUGGUAUAUUCAAUUGGCUAACCUGCAUACCCCCUCUUUCGCUAACAGAGCUCAAUGUGGUACGUAAGUGAUGUAGAGGCCAUAAUCUAUGUCAGUUGCAGAGGCUUGAGAGUUGAGAAGUGUGGUAUACGUCUUUUGCACCGGGAAGAAGAGGUGGAGUUUGAGAACACGAUAACUGAGUGCUGGACCUCUUUCUUCGAUAAUUUGUCACUCAACUGUCAACUUGUAGAAGCAGAUGACCAAAACGAUCAACCAUGGAUAAGGCAUGACGCUUGGAGGCCAUUUAUAUGAAGCAGAGGAAGCUUUGAGGGGAGAUUCAGUAGUGGUCCAAGUAUACGAGUGAGAAAGGGUACACUUAUAGCAUUGUUUUUCUCAGUUAGUGCAUUGAUUUCGUUUGUAGAUUCGUACAACAGCAAGAUAAUGAUUUGAUUGUUCGUCAGUCCAAAAUCGUUCAAAGCAACUUAUACAUGUCUCCUCGGCCUCAGCCGCAAACCUCCUCGUCGAUAAGUUCUCCUCACCGACUACACUUUUAGAAUUGUUUUGAAUAAGUGAUUGAAUCAAACCCUUUUCAAUUCUUUUGAAGUUUGACAGAUCAGGAGAAAAUUUUGGGGAAACCAAACUCUUCGACAUCGACUUUAAUUCUGGUAACUUUUGACAUCACUUGACUGCCCUAAAUUUUGUAGCAAACAAUUUGCACCAAGAUGAGGAGAUAAUUGAUAGAGUUGGAAAUUUAGUUACCUAAAUUAUCUGGUGCAACCUGCAUCGGAGUUAAACUCUAAAAGAUAUCGGUACUGAUAUCUCGUGUAACGAGUACUGGCUUGUGUGACAGUAAGUUUCAUGAUGGAUGUUACUUUUUUUCACUUUAUUUAUUUAUUUUUUUUCAUUACUUCACUACCUAUUUCUUAUUUUUACUGCAAAUGUUGUUUUCUAAUUUCAGCGACUGGCGUUGUUUAUUUUCUGAUUACGGGCUUGUGUGAAAGUACAUGUUACACUAGAUACCGGUACCGAUAUAUAGUGCAACGUGCAACGGAGUUACACUCCACUAAAUAUCGGUACCGAUAUCUAGUGCAAACUGUAAUGUUGUUAAACCCUACUAGAUAUCGGUACCGACAACUAGUGCAACCUGUAACGGAUUUAAACACUACCAGGUAGCGGUACCGAAAUCUAGUGUGCUGGACUGGCUUGUGUGACAGUUACACUAGAUAUCGGUACCGAUAUCUGGUGUAAGCCGGACUGACCACAAAAACGAUAUUGCUCUUAUUCAGUAUUUUUUUUUCUCCUUCAGUACUUCAUUAGCUAUUUCUUAGUUCUACUGCAUUGUUUAUUUUUUAACUAUAGGGAUACGCAUUGUCUUCAUCAGUAGUAAUGCUAAAGAAUAUCUUAGCUGUGCAUGUUCUAUGAUUUGUUAAACAGUCCAAAGUGGCUAUCGAGUCGGUUGGUAAGUUUUUUUCACCAACUUCGCUUCUAUCAUUGUGUUUCUCUGUUAGUGAAUCAGACCAUUUCAAGUCAAACACUUUUGAUUUGAAUUUGUUUGCAGAUUAAUAGAUCAUACGACAAGAUGUGGAUUUGAUUGUUCGUAAGUCCACAAUCGUUCAAACCGACUUAUAUAUAUUUGUCUCCUCGACCCCGGCUGCAAACCUCCACAUAUGUGAGUUCUCCUCACCAACUGCACUUUUAGAAUUUUUUUGUCUAAGUAAAAGAGUGUUUGAACGAUUAGGUUUUAAUACCAAAUAAUUUGAAAUGUGAUCGAGUGUUAUAAAUCAUUAUUUGCCUCUUUUAUAGGCUCUCUUGGAACGUUAUGAUUCUAGUGAAAUUGAUAUAUGUGUUUCUUUCGAAGUUCAUGACGAGAGUGUAACUACCUCCCUACGGUCGGUCAAGCUUCUCUGUCACUUGGGAGCCAAGGGUUGGUACUACUGCUUGAAUCAUAUCCCCAUGUGUUCCAUAACAAAAGAGACAUACAAGUCAUUACGUCUUGGUAUAUUCAAUUGGCUAAGCUGCAUACCCCCUAUUUUGCAAACAGAGCUCAAUGUGGUACGUAAGUGAUGUAGAGGCCAUAAUCUAUGUCAGUUGCAGAGGCUUGAGAGUUGAGAAGUGUGGUAUACGUCUCUUGCACCAGGAAGAUGAGGUGGAGUUUGAGAACACGAUAACUGAGUACUGGACCUCUUUCUUCGAUAAUUUGUCACUCAACUGUCAACUUGUAGAAGCAGAUGACCAAAAUGAUCAACCAUAGAUAAGACAAGCACUUUUAGAAUAUUUUGUCUAAGUGAUUGAAUCAAACCCUUUUCAAUUCUUUUGGAGUUUCGUAGAUCAGGAGAAAAUUUUUUGGGGAAAACAAACUCUUCGAUAUCAACUUUAAUUCUGAUAACUUUUGAAAUCACUUGACUGCCCUAAAUUUUGUAGCAAACAAUUUGCAACAAGAUGAGGAGAUAAUUAAUAGAGUUGGAAAUUUACUUACCUAAAUUAUCUUGUGCAACCUGCACCAGAGUUAAACUCUAGCAGAUAUCGGUACCGAUAUCUGGCGUAACAUGUACUGAGCUUGUGUGACUGUAAGUUUCAUGAUCGAUAUUAUAUUUUUUUCAUUUAUUUUUUAUCUUUUUUCAUUACUUC
This 18956-nucleotide long non-coding RNA is filed under the name Fragaria vesca (wild strawberry). Its description in RNAcentral is "long non-coding RNA (FVES_LNC001993)". The record is from RNAcentral. Lineage: Eukaryota; Viridiplantae; Streptophyta; Magnoliopsida; Rosales; Rosaceae.